RNAcentral lists this RNase P RNA (395 nucleotides) under Sandaracinus sp. Its description in RNAcentral is "RNase P RNA component class A". It matches the Rfam family "Bacterial RNase P class A". Rfam says of the family: Ribonuclease P (RNase P) is a ubiquitous endoribonuclease, found in archaea, bacteria and eukarya as well as chloroplasts and mitochondria. Its best characterised activity is the generation of mature 5'-ends of tRNAs by cleaving the 5'-leader elements of precursor-tRNAs. The record is from RNAcentral. RNAcentral also lists the same sequence under 1 other name. Lineage: Bacteria; Pseudomonadati; Myxococcota; Polyangiales; Sandaracinaceae.
CGGAGAGGCUCGGGUGAUCGCUGGUGGAUCACGCGCGAGCGUGAGGCCACGAGAGGAAAGUCCGAGCUCCACAGGGCAGGAUGCCAGCCAACCGCUGGUGGGGGCGACCCCGAGGACAGUGCAACAGAGAACAGACCGCCGUGACCGCUCGAGAGGGCGCUCGCGGUAAGGGUGAAACGGCGAGGUAAGAGCUCACCGGGCCGGUGGUGACAUCGGUCGCUUGGCAAACCCCAUCCGGAGCAAGACCGAAUAGGGAGGCGUUCGAGGGCUGCCCGCCCGAAGCCUCCGGGUGUGUCGCUGGAGGCCUGCGGCAACGCAGGUCCUAGAGGAAUGAUCAUCACCGGCUGGCGGCGACGCCUGACGGAACAGAACUCGGCUUACGAGCCCUCCGACCA